UGGCAACAUAGUAGUUCCAAUGAUCACCAAAAUCAUCCAACACCUGUAUAUAGUGGGCACCUACAUUGUAUUAAAAUAUAAUGAUUCUGAGAUAAAGCAUAUCCAAACAGUUCACCAAAAAAAAAACUGGAUUUUUUCACAUUUGUUCUGUUUCCAUGGUAACGGUAGCCAUCUUGAACCAUUCCAUGCUUCCUGCAACUCUGCACUGGGGUCCUUACUAUAGUAGAGUUCCAUCAACAUUGGUCCAUUGGAUUUCGAGAAAUCACCUGGACAAAAUUUGUUGCAAGAAAAAUAAUAAUAAUAAUAACUAGAUUUGUAAUUGCUAGCAAUAACGGAUGGCACCCUUCCCCUAUUGCCAGGUGAGCGGCGGCCAUUUAGAAAAUUCCAAACUCAAAAGUCAAGUCUACAUAAGCUAGGCAACAUUUGUUAUAAGUUUCCUUAAAUUUGAAGCAUUUUGAAGUUUUUCAUAUUUUUGCUGUUUCCAUGGUAACGGCGGCCAUUUUGAAUAUUCCAAAGUCAAACCCAUGCUGCAUUUUUUGCCCUCAAUUAAUAUACCAUUUAAUGUCUCUAGAAUAAAUUUAACAUUGAUGUUCUGGAAUGUUCUGUGAAAAUUCAAAGUUUUGACCUUUUUGCAUUGUUUCCAAGGUAACAACAGAUAUUUUGGAAAUUCCAACGCCAAAUUCC
RNAcentral lists this long non-coding RNA (684 nucleotides) under Mytilus galloprovincialis (Mediterranean mussel). Lineage: Eukaryota; Metazoa; Mollusca; Bivalvia; Mytilida; Mytilidae. The record is from RNAcentral.